GGGGGUAUAGCUCAGUAGUAGAGCGCUUUUUCGGCCUGGAAGAGGACUGGGGUUCAAUUCCCCAUACCUCCA
Angiostrongylus costaricensis is the source of this 72-nucleotide non-coding RNA. The record is from Rfam. NCBI's taxonomy places the organism in Eukaryota, Metazoa, Nematoda, Chromadorea, Rhabditida, Metastrongylidae.